Molecule: long non-coding RNA, 214 nt
Filed under: Elaeis guineensis (African oil palm)
Lineage: Eukaryota; Viridiplantae; Streptophyta; Magnoliopsida; Arecales; Arecaceae
Description: long non-coding RNA (EGUI_LNC011858)
Source: RNAcentral
GGCCUAGUUUCAUGUCACAUUUUUUUUUCUAUAUUUUAAAGAGAAAAUCUAAAAGUCAAAUAGGGAUUUGAUUCUCUUACUAACAGAGUCUGUUAACUCCAUAAUUGAAAUAGUAAAAAAAAUAAAAUAAAAUGCAUGCCUAAGAAGGACUCUUCAUGACUGUUCGUAUCAUCUUUCUUUCUCAUCAAGCCUCUCUACCAUUAUCUUCCUCAUC